Molecule: long non-coding RNA, 940 nt
Organism: Papaver somniferum (opium poppy)
Lineage: Eukaryota; Viridiplantae; Streptophyta; Magnoliopsida; Ranunculales; Papaveraceae
Exons: 5
Source: RefSeq, a predicted model, not a curated record
CAUGAUGCUCCGAUCUCAGAUUUACAAUCAACUACUCUCUCUAGUUGUAUCAAUGUAAUUGUUUCGAAGAAUCUUGAGCAAAAUUUUCAGAUCGGUUCUUCGUCAAAAUCGUCCUAACUAUCAAUUUCAAGAUGCGAUCAACAAUGAUAUGAGGAACAAUUUGCUGGUUUCUCUGAAUCCGAUAAGGAGAAUUAUGGUCUGUUUAUCGAGAAGCACAGUUGGAGUCGACCACUAAAUUCAGGAAGCUUUUAUCUCUUGUGCGUGACCCACCAAUUGAUAAGGUAAUUAAAGCCGGUGUUGUCCCACGAUUCGUAGGAUUUCUUGCAAGGAACGAUCCUCCUCAACUCCAGUUUGAGGCAGCGUGGGUUUUGACGAAUAUCGCGGCAGGCACAUCAGAGCAUACACAAGUUGUGAUUCAACAUAGUGCUGUUCCAACGCUUGUGCAACUUCUUAGCUCUGGAAAUGCUGAUCUUCGUGAACAGGUCUACAUCAAUGUCCUAUCUUUGUCCUAUAAACUUACUUCUUAGCCAGUGGAUGUAACUUUUGCAUAUGACAUGGAUGUGUAACUGCGACAUACACAAACUUUAUGGAUGUGUAAUCGUUGAUUACACAUGCAUAUGACAUGUGUAACUGCUGCAUACACAUGCCAUAUGCACGUGUAACUGUUGCAUACACAUCUAUUUUCACUUCUCUCUGGUGGUGGCGGUGGUGCUGCUGUUAACUCUCUCUUGUAUUGAAGAACAAAUUAUGGCUCAUAUCGAAGAUAUGCAAGCAUUUUGGAGGGAGUGAGACAAGAAGGAAAGGCAAAUAUUUAAACUUCAUAAAAGCACAAAUCAGACGCGUGUGUAACUCUCAAUUACACUAGAUAGAUGCAUGUGUAACUCUCAAUUACACUAAACAGAUGCGUGUGUAACUUCUAGUUACACAUGUUAAGAAAUUA